CCUACGGGAGGCAGCAGUGAGGAAUAUUGGUCAAUGGACGCGAGCCUGAACCAGCCAAGUAGCGUGCAGGAUGACUGCCCUACGGGUUGUAAACUUCUUUUGUACAAGGAUAAAGUGAGGCACGUGUGCCUUUUUGUAUGUACUUUAUGAAUAAGGAUCGGCUAACUCCGUGCCAGCAGCCGCGGUAAUACGGAGGAUCCGAGCGUUAUCCGGAUUUAUUGGGUUUAAAGGGUGCGUAGGGGGUUUGUUAAGUCAGUGGUGAAAUCUCGAGGCUCAACCUUAAAAUUGCAAUUGAUACUGGCCGUCUAGAGUAUAGUUGCGGUAGGCGGAAUGCGUGGUGUAGCGGUGAAAUGCUUAGAGAUCAUGCAGAACGCCGAUUGCGAAGGCAGCUUACCAAGCUGCUUCUGACAUUGAGGCACGAAAGUGUGGGGAGCAAACAGUAUUAGAUACCCGGGUAGUC
This 460-nucleotide ribosomal RNA is filed under the name uncultured bacterium. RNAcentral's name for it is "partial 16S ribosomal RNA". It matches the Rfam family "Bacterial small subunit ribosomal RNA", at positions 338 to 795 of the family's 1533-position model. The record is from RNAcentral.